GUUUAGUUUUAAAGUAGACAUGUCAAGCUUUCUAUAGAUAUCUCUCUCAUGUCUCUUCGUUGAGUAUUCACGGAGUUACACUUCAUUUUAAUGUACUGUCAUUACAUUAAAUGAACUGUCAAGCAGCUGAUCGCUGACACUCAGUGUGGUUUCACUUUUUUUUAGGUAAGUUUAGUCUAUUAAAUUACACAAAUAGUACAUUAAAAUGUUCCUGACACUUUAUUUCAUGUAAAUUGUACGCUUUCGUUUAAUAUUUACUUUAUAGAAAUGGUUUAGCGUCGUCAGAAAAAGUCAGUUAGCAUCUCAAAGGUAAGGCUAACUACAAGAGGUAAGGAUAGACAUGAGCUCUUAUUUAUUAAGUUUGGGCUUUUAAUGUCAUCUUGUGUGUAGAUGCUCUCUCUCUCUCUCUGUCUCUCUCUCUCUCCAUAUAUAUCAAUGGAUGAAUGGAAGUAACUUAACCGAAUUAAUUUAACCCUAAAAGUAUGCACUGUUUAAUCCUAAAAUGUGCACUAUCGUAACCGGAUAACGUUACAUCACUUACAUAUAGCGUGAAAAUGGACAAAAACCUUCAGGUUUUGAUCUUUCAUGGUAAACACAUAAAUACAAACUUGUUCUGUGAUUUCAGAAGUGCCAGAAAAAAAACAUCUAUGACACAGGAGAAGUUCCUGAUUUUAACAUUUCUGAAGGGAGCUUCUGACAGAGAGGAUGAAAACAUACACAUUUUGAUGUCCACGCUGUAGGAGCAUUACUACAUAAGUAAAACCUAAAUAUAUAUAUUUAUUGUAAAUGAUUAUAUAAAUUAUAUAUUCUGUGAAUAAUUAUUUUUCUUUUCUGCAUUUCACCUCUGCUAUAGUUUAUGCCUUAUACCUGGCAUUGUAUAAUAAAUAUUGUUGUCUCUGUGACAGUAUGCGUAUGUUCCUAGGUUCUUCCAUGCUGAUGGCUGUGCUCUAGUCAUAUCUCCUGUCGAAGAACAUUUUUAGACCUUAUGAACCAUGAAUAAGUUUAGCUCCAACCCCAGUUAAGCAGACCUGAGCAGCUGAUCAAGGAUCAGCAGAAACUCUGCAGAACGGUGGUCCUUCAGCCCAGGACUGGACACCAGUGUUGAGUGUCUGUCUCAGAAGCUGAAGAAAAAAGGCAAUACCUUAUAGGAAAUAAACGCCUCCUAAGUGUACGUGUAGCGCCUCUAGCUUGCUGAACUAUAAUGAGAGGUGGCUAUCCUGAGUUCUUUAACUAUCUUUUAAAUCAAAUAAGUGA
This is a long non-coding RNA of Carassius auratus (goldfish), 1254 nucleotides long. RefSeq lists it as uncharacterized. The record is from RefSeq and is a predicted model, not a curated record. The transcript has 3 exons. NCBI's taxonomy places the organism in Eukaryota, Metazoa, Chordata, Actinopteri, Cypriniformes, Cyprinidae.